Molecule: ribosomal RNA, 293 nt
Filed under: uncultured bacterium
Lineage: Bacteria
Description: partial 16S ribosomal RNA
Rfam family: Bacterial small subunit ribosomal RNA
Source: RNAcentral
GGAUUAGAUACCCUGGUAGUCCACGCCGUAAACGAUGUCAAUUAGCCGUUGGGAAUCUUGUAUUCUUAGUGGCGCAGCUAACGCGAUAAAUUGACCGCCUGGGGAGUACGGCCGCAAGGUUAAAACUCAAAUGAAUUGACGGGGGCCCGCACAAGCGGUGGAGCAUGUGGUUUAAUUCGAUGCAACGCGAAGAACCUUACCAGGUCUUGACAUCCUGAGAACUUUCUAGAGAUAGAUUGGUGCCUUCGGGAACUCAGUGACAGGUGCUGCAUGGCUGUCGUCAGCUCGUGCCG